CCUACGGGAGGCAGCAGUAGGGAAUCUUGCGCAAUGGGCGAAAGCCUGACGCAGCCAUGCCGCGUGAAUGAUGAAGGUCUUAGGAUUGUAAAAUUCUUUCACCGGGGACGAUAAUGACGGUACCCGGAGAAGAAGCCCCGGCUAACUUCGUGCCAGCAGCCGCGGUAAUACGAAGGGGGCUAGCGUUGCUCGGAAUUACUGGGCGUAAAGGGAGCGUAGGCGGAUAGUUUAGUCAGAGGUGAAAGCCCAGGGCUCAACCUUGGAACUGCCUUUGAUACUGGCUAUCUUGAGUAUGGGAGAGGUGAGUGGAACUCCGAGUGUAGAGGUGAAAUUCGUAGAUAUUCGGAAGAACACCAGUGGCGAAGGCGACUCACUGGCCCAUUACUGACGCUGAGGCUCGAAAGCGUGGGGAGCAAACAGGAUUAGAUACCCUGGUAGUCCACGCCGUAAACGAUGAGUGCUAGUUGUCGGCAUGCAUGCAUGUCGGUGACGCAGCUAACGACAUUAAGACACCUCCGCCGUCGGGGUAGGUACGGGUCGGCGAAGAAGUUAAAACCUUAACAAAUAGAAGUUAGACGGCGUGAGACGUGCCGAACGGACGACGACGACGGGAGGUUAGG
This 620-nucleotide ribosomal RNA is filed under the name uncultured bacterium. RNAcentral describes it as "bacterial SSU rRNA". The stretch from base 1 to 520 matches the Rfam family "Bacterial small subunit ribosomal RNA", at positions 338 to 873 of the family's 1533-position model. The record is from RNAcentral.